Molecule: ribosomal RNA, 462 nt
Filed under: uncultured bacterium
Lineage: Bacteria
Description: SSU rRNA
Rfam family: Bacterial small subunit ribosomal RNA
Source: RNAcentral
GGCUUAGAGUUUGAUCCUGGCUCAGAUUGAACGCUGGCGGAAUGCUUUACACAUGCAAGUCGAACGGCAGCACGGGUGCUUGCACCUGGUGGCGAGUGGCGAACGGGUGAGUAACAUAUCGGAACGUACCCAGUAAUGGGGGAUAACUAACCGAAAGGUUAGCUAAUACCGCAUACGCCCUGAGGGGGAAAGCGGGGGAUCGAAAGACCUCGCGUUAUUGGAGCGGCCGAUAUCUGAUUAGCUAGUUGGUGGGGUAAAGGCCCACCAAGGCGACGAUCAGUAGCUGGUCUGAGAGGAUGAUCAGCCACACUGGAACUGAGACACGGUCCAGACUCCUACGGGAGGCAGCAGUGGGGAAUUUUGGACAAUGGGCGAAAGCCUGAUCCAGCCAUGCCGCGUGAGUGAAGAAGGCCUUCCGGGUUGUAAAGCUCUUUCAGCCGGAAAGAAAUUGCUUCUAUUAAU